RNAcentral lists this long non-coding RNA (1086 nucleotides) under Bemisia tabaci. Its description in RNAcentral is "lncRNA ENSSSA1UGG008356". Lineage: Eukaryota; Metazoa; Arthropoda; Insecta; Hemiptera; Aleyrodidae. The record is from RNAcentral.
GGUUUUGGAGCUAUGCUGUAGUCAGGAAUGAGUGAACUGGCUGUGCUAGAUAAUCUAUCCGAUGCAGCUCGCUACUCCUUUGCGGCUGUCUGUGCCUUGGCUUUGAAUCAUCUUUUUAAUAACGAUUGGGACCAACCUUUCAACGAAAAAUGUUUGAAAAAACUGUUGGACUUCUUAAAAUUACCUCAACAAACAUGUGGUACAAUGAUCGAGAUUAUGAAUACCGACACAGGCAUGAAAAUAGAGCCGUAUGUAUCACUUUUAAAAGAAGAACCACAUAUUCGAAACAAUCUGGCUGUCUUAAUACACACCCUGAUUGAGCUAGCGGUGGCUGAUGGAGUUUAUGAUGCAAGGUGGCGAGUGCUGGUGAAGUAUGUCUCAGAAAACUUCGAUCUCGAUGAUGAUUAUGUUGAUUCUGUGGAGUGUACAAUAGUCUACUAUUUAAAGCAAGAUCAUGUUCGAUCAAAAGAAGAAAUUCAAGGAGCUAAAUCCCGAGAGAGGAUGACUAAAGUUAAGCGUUACGCUAUGAUAGGCCUGGCUGGGAUUGGAGGUGGUGCAUUGAUAGGCGUAACUGGAGGCCUAGCUGCACCAUUAAUCGGUAAGGGUUUUUUUACGUAUUCAGUGUGAAUGGGUCUGUUGUUUACAAUACAUGAAGCCAAAUGAGUGAAAUUUAUACAGGAGAAAUUUCUUAAAAACGAAUGACAACAUCAGAAAUAUCUAAAAUCUAUUCUUAAAAGCCAACAUGGGGUAGUGCAUAAAGACAGUAAAACUUUGAAAAUGCUUAUCUCGGUUACAAUGUUUCAAAAUCUCUGCUCCUGUUUUGUUUUUUAAAAGUGGACCAAAACCAAGUCAUGGCUCGAAAUUGUCAUUUAUUAUUUCGUUCAUAGAAAAAGAAAAACCGCCAACGAAGUCCAUGGGCUAAAAUACCUCAAAAUUUUAACCUUGUCGGUUUUAUUUAUCUACCAAUAUAUUUUACAUUUACAGGUGCUGGUCUAGGAACAGUGAUAGGCACAUCAGCAGCCCUAACAGCACUAGGUUCAGCUGCAGGAGCAGCCGUUGUGGGAUCACUUUUCGGUGUAGCAGGUG